Molecule: ribosomal RNA, 256 nt
Filed under: uncultured bacterium
Lineage: Bacteria
Description: partial 16S ribosomal RNA
Rfam family: Bacterial small subunit ribosomal RNA
Source: RNAcentral
UACGUAGGGCGCAAGCGUUGUCCGGAAUUAUUGGGCGUAAAGCGCACGUAGGCGGCUUUUCAAGUCCCAUGUGAAAGCCCACGGCUUAACCGUGGAAGUGCAUGGGAAACUGGAAGCUUGAGUACUUAAGAGGGAUCGCGGAAUUCCCGGUGUAGAGGUGAAAUUCGUAGAUAGUCGGGAAGGAACACCAGUGGCGAAGGCGGCGAUCUGGGAAGAUACUGACGCUGAGGUGCGGAAAGCGUGGGGAGCAAACAGG